RNAcentral lists this ribosomal RNA (871 nucleotides) under uncultured bacterium. RNAcentral describes it as "bacterial SSU rRNA". It matches the Rfam family "Bacterial small subunit ribosomal RNA". The record is from RNAcentral.
AGGGUUUGAUUCUGGCUCAGAUUGAACGCUGGCGGCAUGCUUUACACAUGCAAGUCGAACGGUAACAGGUUAAGCUGACGAGUGGCGAACGGGUGAGUAAUGCAUCGGAACGUGCCCGGUCGUGGGGGAUAACGCAGCGAAAGCUGCGCUAAUACCGCAUACGAUCUGAGGAUGAAAGCGGGGGACCGUAAGGCCUCGCGCGAUCGGAGCGGCCGAUGUCAGAUUAGGUAGUUGGUGGGGUAAAGGCUCACCAAGCCGACGAUCUGUAGCUGGUCUGAGAGGACGACCAGCCACACUGGGACUGAGACACGGCCCAGACUCCUACGGGAGGCAGCAGUGGGGAAUUUUGGACAAUGGGCGCAAGCCUGAUCCAGCAAUGCCGCGUGCAGGAAGAAGGCCUUCGGGCUGUAAACUGCUUUUGUACGGAGCGAAAAACGAGCGCAACCCUUGUCAUUAGUUGCUACGAAAGGGCACUCUAAUGAGACUGCCGGUGACAAACCGGAGGAAGGUGGGGAUGACGUCAAGUCCUCAUGGCCCUUAUAGGUGGGGCUACACACGUCAUACAAUGGCUGGUACAAAGGGUUGCCAACCCGCGAGGGGGAGCUAAUCCCAUAAAGCCAGUCGUAGUCCGGAUCGCAGUCUGCAACUCGACUGCGUGAAGUCGGAAUCGCUAGUAAUCGUGGAUCAGAAUGUCACGGUGGAUACGUUCCCGGGUCUUGUACACACCGCCCGUCACACCAUGGGAGCGGGUUCUGCCAGAAGUAGUUAGCCUAACCGCAAGGAGGGCGAUUACCACGGCAGGGUUCGUGACUGGGGUGAAGUCGUAACAAGGUAGCCGUAUCGGAAGGUGCGGCUGGAUCACCUCCUUUCU